UACGGAGGGUGCAAGCGUUAUCCGGAUUCACUGGGUUUAAAGGGUGUGUAGGCGGAUUUUUAAGUCAGUGGUGAAAUCUCCGGGCUCAACCCGGAAACUGCCAUUGAUACUAUUAGUCUUGAAUCUGUUGAGGUGGGCGGAAUACAUCAUGUAGCGGUGAAAUGCUUAGAUAUGAUGUAGAACACCGAUUGCGAAGGCAGCUCACUAAGCAGACAUUGACGCUGGGGCACGAAAGCGUGGGGAUCAAACAGG
Molecule: ribosomal RNA, 252 nt
Filed under: uncultured bacterium
Lineage: Bacteria
Description: partial 16S ribosomal RNA
Rfam family: Bacterial small subunit ribosomal RNA
Source: RNAcentral